RNAcentral lists this ribosomal RNA (394 nucleotides) under uncultured bacterium. RNAcentral's name for it is "partial 16S ribosomal RNA". It matches the Rfam family "Bacterial small subunit ribosomal RNA", at positions 523 to 918 of the family's 1533-position model. The record is from RNAcentral.
AUACGGAGGACGCGAGCGUUAUCCGGAUUCAUUGGGUUUAAAGGGUGCGUAGGCGGAUGAUUAAGCGUGAGGUGAAAUGCCACUGCUCAACAGUGGAACUGCCUCGCGAACUGGUUGUCUUGAAUGCUCCUGCCGUGGGAGGAAUGUGUGGUGUAGCGGUGAAAUGCAUAGAGAUCACACAGAACACCGAUUGCGAAGGCAUCUCACGAAGGGGUGAUUGACGCUGAGGCACGAAAGCGUGGGGAUCAAACAGGAUUAGAUACCCUGGUAGUCCACGCAGUAAACGAUGAUAACUAACCGCUGGGUCGUAGUGAUUCAGUGGCCAAGCGAAAGCGAUAAGUUAUCCACCUGGGGAGUACGACCGCAAGGUUGAAACCCAAAUGAAUUGGCGGGG